Aphis gossypii (cotton aphid) is the source of this 2304-nucleotide long non-coding RNA. RefSeq lists it as uncharacterized. The transcript is spliced from 3 exons. Lineage: Eukaryota; Metazoa; Arthropoda; Insecta; Hemiptera; Aphididae. The record is from RefSeq and is a predicted model, not a curated record.
UUAAUUAUCUGAACAAGUUCAUGAUUUGAUGACAUCAUAUUCUCCAGAGCUGUUAGAAUAGAACUUUUCUGAAACAAAAAUUAAAUUUAUUUUAGUGUAUAUAAUUUAUAAUAAAUACAAUUAUUUUAAUAAUAUAAUACACUUAAUCACUAAUUUAAAAACCCUGAUUUUAUGGUUCAACUGUGACAAAUGUCAUAGGUCAGAAGUUCCCAAACUUUUUAUGGUACAACCCAUUUUAGACAUUUUUUUUAAAUUUUAGUGAUAAUAUCAACUAUCAAGUUCUUUUUUUACUGUUCCGUUAAUUAGUUGUUUAUGACAAAAAAUUAAGAGGACGUCGUACCUGCACACGAUGUCUCCGCCUUACUUGCGUACGGCCUUAUAAAAUUUCGUUAAGAGUUAAGAGUUGAAAAAGAAUACAAGAUUUUUCAUAAGUUUGACUAACAAUAGUUAUAAAAGAACUUAAACUUUGGUAUGUAUUCAGGCCAUUAAAACAUAAACCAUAUUUUAUACCAACUACUGUAAAUAAUAUUCUAGGCUGACAAAUCAUCUCCGUUCAGAAUUGUUUUUCGUAUACAAUGAUACUUAUCAUUGGAUUCAAAUUUAAUACAUAAAUUUAUUAUAGUAACCUACUAUACAGCAGAGCGUUACUCACUUGACCACACUUUUUUAAUUUAUUUAAAAUACGGAAUAAUAAUAAUUAUAUUGUAUUGUAUACGUAAUGAUUAAAAGAAAAGUUACGAUUUUUAAGAUAAAAUUAUUUAAAUAUUAAAAAUGUUUAAUAAUAUAGGUACUACGACCACACUUAUAGGUAGGUAGUUUAAUUUAUUGGUAUAUACAUAUAUAAAGGUAACUAUAUAGUAGAUAUUAGAUACCUACGCUAAAUAUAAAUUUACUUAUUUAUUUUUAUAGAUUUAUAAAGAAGUUGGAACUUCAUUUUAAGACAGGAAGGAGAUUUUGUAACUCAAAAUGAAAGAAUUAUUUAAUUAAACAAAACGAAUAAUUUUAAAUAGUUAAAAAAAUAAUUAAUUAUAUAAUUAUUUUUAUAUUCAUUUCGGUGAAAUGGAACUGCAGAAAAAUAAAUUCGGCGAAAUGGUACCGCGACGAAAUGAAACGGCGGCGAAAUGGGAGCUGACCAAAAAUUUAAAUUAUUAAUUAUUAAAACUAGGCAACAAAAAUGUAGUAUCGUAUGUGUGUAAGACGGAGACAACACUCGCGGGUGAAACGUUCUCUUAAAGAUACAUAAUAUUAAAACAGUUAAUUUUAUUUUUGAAUUUUUAUUAAUUACUAAAGAAAUUUUACAACUAUUUAUCUGGCUAUCAAAAAAAUAUAUAUAUACAUACAUAUAAUAUAUAUAAAAUAUAGGUAUUUUAAUGCUACUUUUUAAUAUGAAGAAUGUAAAUGUUUUCUAUUUUUCAUUACUACAUUGAUAUUCACUUCAGCAUUAGUUACGUUUGCUACGUUAGUUUUAAACGUAGUGAGUUUGUUAAUAUCAAUUUGCUCCGUAAAGUUGUAAUUUUCACGCUUGCGGAUAGCGAUUUAUGAUUAAAACUGAAUAUGAACAUCAUCGAAAAAAAUAGAAACUGGGAAUUAUGGAAACACAUUAAAAAAAAAUGUAGGUAUUUUUUAAAAAUAUAAUCGUGACCCGCAGUUUGGGAAUCUCUGUGACAUAAAUAAUUGAAGUGGGUGGAUUAGACAUCUUGUACUAAACUUUGAAAAAAACCAGGCUACAAACCAAAGUUUAUAGAUAAUAGUAUUAUCUAUAAACCUUGGCUACAAACUACCAUAUCAAAUGAGACCCAAUAUGUUACUUAUAAUUAGUUGUUAAAAGAAGUUAAUGAACCACUGAUGAGUUGGUGACGUUGGGGUAGUGAAUGAUAGAUAUAGGUACUAUAUAGUAUAAUAUUAAACUAUAUAGAAAUUUCUCAUAAAUAUUUUAAAUUACAUCGGCACCUUGAGCUGUGAUAAUAAUGAUAAUAAUGAUAAUAUUGUCUUAAUUUUGGUAAUAAAUAAAUUUCUCAAACUUAUUAUCUCCUAUUGUUAUUAUAAACAUUACUUGGAGAAAUGAAGGCGAAGGCAUGUUACUGAUGUGAAAACAUCUAACCUGUCCAUUUACAUCACCAGUGACAAUAUUCUAAAAAUCGCAAAAAAUUUCACCAGUGAGAAGUGUACGCCCGUCUUGCAUGUAAACAUCAUGACAGGCUCGACCGUUUUUCGCGCAAAAUCCCAAAUGCAAAUGACUGCGCCGCUGACGCUGACAAUAACCGUGGAGUUGAUUGGCGACCAAUCGGCGUCGUCUACAGCGUU